RNAcentral lists this small RNA (489 nucleotides) under Gomphidius roseus. Its description in RNAcentral is "eukaryotic LSU rRNA". The stretch from base 167 to 321 matches the Rfam family "5.8S ribosomal RNA". The record is from RNAcentral. Lineage: Eukaryota; Fungi; Basidiomycota; Agaricomycetes; Boletales; Gomphidiaceae.
CCCCCCCCCCGUGCACACAAUGUAGGAUGCCUCUUUUCCUUUGGGAAAAAAGGGGGGUACCUAUGUCUUUUGCAACAUGCAAUAAAGUUUAGAAAGUCUCAGAAUGUUUAUGAUCGUUGAGCUGCGACUUCCAGGAGACGUGGAUUGGCGAGAUAAAAGUUAUUACAACUUUCAGCAAUGGAUCUCUUGGCUCUCGCAUCGAUGAAGAACGCAGCAAAUUGCGAUAUGUAAUGUGAAUUGCAGAUCUACAGUGAAUCAUUGAAUCUUUGAACGCACAUUGCGCUCCUUGGUGUUCCGAGGAGCAUGCCUGUUUGAGUGUCAGUAUAAUUCUCAACUCCUCUUUGAUUUUAUUUGAGAGGGAGCUUGGAUCAUGGGGGCUGCCGGAGACUUUGGACCUUUGUGGUCCAGGACUUGGGCUCUCCUGAAAUGCAUUGGCUUGUGAUUGACUUUUUGACUUUGUGCGACAAGGCCUUCGGCGUGACACAGCAA